ACCGUAACUUUAAAAGCAUCUUAAACUACAAGCAAGUGAAGGCUUCUUACAUUAAAAAAAAACCCGUAAAAUGCCGCAACUUUCACAGAAAACCAGCUGCAAAUUAUUUAUUUUGUCGUGACAGAAAAGUAUCCCAGAGAUACAACA
Molecule: small nucleolar RNA, 147 nt
Filed under: Drosophila yakuba
Lineage: Eukaryota; Metazoa; Arthropoda; Insecta; Diptera; Drosophilidae
Description: snoRNA:GE27176
Source: RNAcentral